RNAcentral lists this long non-coding RNA (532 nucleotides) under Equus caballus (horse). RNAcentral describes it as "lncRNA (ENSECAG00000056525.1)". The record is from RNAcentral. Lineage: Eukaryota; Metazoa; Chordata; Mammalia; Perissodactyla; Equidae.
GGACCAUCCUGGAGGCUGCCUUUCUGGUUUCAUCUCCCAUCACUCUCCUCCUCUCUCCUCCCCACGGACCUGGUCACCACUGUAUUCCCAGUGCUGAGAAUAGUACCUGCAAAUAAUAGGUGCUCACUAGGUAUCUUUCAACGAAUGAAUGAUUAGUGAAUUCUGUAUAACAUUCAAGUGAAUUUCUGAGGAUAUACCACCAGAAAGCACAUUCUUUAAUUUCUCCUUGACCUAGGCAUGACCACCGGGAUGUGAGGAAGACCAGGAUAACCUGCUAAGGAAUGAAAAGCCAUAAGAGGAGAACCAUGUGUCUCAGUGAACAGCCAGCACCAAUUGCCAGAUAUGUGAGUGAUCCAUCUGGACUCUCAACUCCCAGUCCAGCUGUCAGAUGACCGCAGCCACAGGAGUGAUCCCAGCAAAGACCAGCAGAAGGCCCUCCCAGAUGGCCAACCCACAGAAUCAUGACAAUCAGUAAACUCCUGUUUUAAGCCAUUGACUUAUUGUAUCACAAUAAUAGAUGAGUGAAGCAGCC